GCAGGAGUGAUUUGUGAUAGAAGGGUAUCUGCAAGAGUAAAAGGGAAAGGUUAUAGGACUGUGGUUAGACCUGCUAUUUUGUAUGGUAUGGAUGAGUGCUCAUCAAUUAAAACUUAAUCCUAGCAAAACCGAACUGCUGGUCAUCCCAGGUGAUUCAUCUCCAGGUCAAGAGCUCCGAACAACUCUUCAUGACUGUCAGGGUCUGGAAAUUUUUGGGUUGUUUGUUUUUGCUUUGGCCACCAGAUGCCGCCACUGGUCCCUUAUCCCCCCCCCCAGUCCCUUAUCUUCUACUCCCUAACCCCUAACGGUUUAAUGUCUCCCACCUGCUCCUUGUUAGUGUUGUGUAUUUAAAUUACCCCUUUUGCCUUGGUCCUUGUUGGUUUAUUAUUUUUGUCGUGGUAUAGUCGGCUUUAUAUUGGUCUUGGUAUUUGGCUGUCUUGAUAUUUUUAUUUGAAUCUGGAUCUGUGUAGGUUUGUUUGUUGUUCUGUUUGGUGACUGUCUUUCUAUUUAUGGUUGUUUGAUUUCUUUAAGUCUCCUGUUUUCUUCGGUUUUCCCUGGUUUCCUGUUUUCCUUAGUAUCCUGGCUUCUUCUAUCUUCCCAAGUCUUCGGUUUUUCCUAGCCUCCUGGCUUCUCCGGUCUUCCCAAGUCUUCUGUGUUCCUGAGUUUCCUGGCUUCUUCCCUCUUCCCUAGUCUUCUGUUUUCUUGAGUCUCCUGACUUCUCCGGUCUUCAAGUCUCCUGGUAUCUCCUGUCUUCCCGAGACUCUUUGUUCUGUUUUGACAUUACUUAAAUUUGAAUUAGUCUUGUUUUAUUAUUUUGUAUUGACAACCCACUCUCCCUGCUGGACUUAUUAUUUUCAUUAAAAUAAAUCAUGCCAUUGCACAUCUUGAGUGUGUCUGCAGUUGGGUUCCAAUGCCUCCCCGUGGCAGACUGCUAGAAUGUAUGCCACUCGCUCUAGUGACCAGAGAGUCUCAAACCUGACAAUGAGUCUCUGAUUUCCCCUUUAGCCACUGCUCACAACCUCGGGGUAACUAUGAACAUUCAACUGUCCUUCUCCUCAAAUGUUGCUUAUGUGGCUCAUUGUUGUCGAUUUCUUCUCUACAACAUCUGAAGGAUUCGAUUCUAUCCACACAGGCUGCCCAGAUGCUUGUACAGUCUCUCUUUAUUUUGAGACUGGACUACUACAACUCUCUGCCAGCAUUUCUACCUCUGAAUUCUAUUCAUCUACUGCAAAUGAUCCAAAAUUCAAAUCUGCCCAAUCCUCCCACAUCACUGCUGUGCUUUCUCCACUGGCAUCCAGUAGCUGUAUGUAUCAGAUUCAAUACACUGAUGCUUGCAUUCAAGGCUAAAAAUAGACCAGCACCAUCUUACCUCAGAGACCUCAUCACACAUUGCACUGCACCAUGUUGUCUGAGAUCCUCCAGCACUGCUCUACUGGUACCACCUUCUCUCAGGAUAAGAGGUAAGUAUACUUCAAGGCUUUUCUCUGUUAUGGCACCAAGGUAGUAAAAUGAUCUUAGAAUUAGAAUGAACCCCUAGAUGUCUGAACAGAGGGGUCCCUGGCUUCAAGUGAUAAUUGAAGACCUACCUCUUCCGGAAACACCUAAACAAACACUUUCCAUAUUUGCUUUAAGUUUGUAAUCUAGCGUACAAGUGUAAAUGUAUUAAUUGCUAGAGACUCAAAGCACUCUUGAGGGUCGCUCUGGGUAAGGGUGUCUGCUAAAUGCCACAAAUGAAAAUGCAAGACAUGCAGGUAGUUGGUUUGAAAGAGGCAGAUGUGGAGGACAGGGGGUAUGGAGAUGGAUGAACCUCUGUGGUGACCCCUAAUGGGAGAAGCUGGAAAAAGAAGAAUAGUAUAAACUAUAAUAAUGCAUUGGAUUUACUGGAGAAUUUUCCACCCCUGCAUGGAGUGCUGUUCCUUCUGUGUUCCUGGGAAAGGCUUCAGAUCCACUGCCCCAUAGUUUCUUUUUUUGAGUUACGUGCGAGUCAGAAAAGUGCUGACUGUGUAAACUUGUGUUCCAACAACAACCUUUUUGCUACUUCAUCCCCUGGAGCAGUGGUGGAAUCCAAAUAAAUGAAGACCUGACAACAGCAAUAACGAUUAAGGACAGAUGGUCUUACUUUAAUGUUUUUUUUUGUUUUUUUUUUCUGGAACAUUGAUGAACAUUGAUGAAUGUCCCUGCAAUAGGAAUACUUGCAGAGUGAAUGAGUAUGAGCUGAUUGUAAUUCAAUAGUAAAACAAUUAUCACUAAACUGGAUAAACAUCCUCUGGACAUGAAUGUAUAGUAUUAUUUCAUAACACAUGAUGAAAAGGACCAUUCAAUUGCAAAAAAAAAAUAAAAAAUCUGAUAACUA
Molecule: long non-coding RNA, 2353 nt
Organism: Silurus meridionalis
Lineage: Eukaryota; Metazoa; Chordata; Actinopteri; Siluriformes; Siluridae
Exons: 2
Source: RefSeq, a predicted model, not a curated record